CUUGGUGGUUUUUGCGAAGGAGGUACACCUGAUCCCAUCUCGAACUCAGAAGUUAAGCCCUUUAGCUCCAAUGAUACCCCGUUUAUUCGGAGGAAAGUAGGUCGCCGCCAAGA
Molecule: ribosomal RNA, 113 nt
Filed under: Candidatus Moraniibacteriota bacterium
Lineage: Bacteria; Candidatus Moraniibacteriota
Source: RNAcentral